Molecule: microRNA precursor, 82 nt
Filed under: Branchiostoma floridae (Florida lancelet)
Lineage: Eukaryota; Metazoa; Chordata; Leptocardii; Amphioxiformes; Branchiostomatidae
Also listed under: 1 other name
Description: microRNA bfl-mir-135a precursor (bfl-mir-135a-1, bfl-mir-135a-2)
Gene: bfl-mir-135a-1
Source: miRBase by way of RNAcentral
GUGUUCUAUGGCUUUCAUCCUAUGUGAAUGUUAUCGCACAUGUUCACAUUGGUGGAAGUCAAAGAAGACGUGUGUGGAAACU